Mauremys mutica (yellowpond turtle) is the source of this 482-nucleotide long non-coding RNA. RefSeq lists it as uncharacterized. The transcript is spliced from 3 exons. NCBI's taxonomy places the organism in Eukaryota, Metazoa, Chordata, Testudines, Geoemydidae. The record is from RefSeq and is a predicted model, not a curated record.
AGGUGACGGACAUUCCCACACUUCUCUUUUCUGAAGGGAGCAACAGUCUAAAUCAAUAAAGCAGAAAGUCCUGGAGACCAGAGGCACCUGCAGGCUUGGGAGUUGCAAUCAGGGUUACAGGGUCAGCCUCCUGCCUGCUGAGAGCCAGUUAUCCACUUCCUCCUGUUUGCCCAGCCAUCAUUAACCACAAUCAGGGAAGGGAAAAGCUGUCACAAUGAUGAUUGAGAUGGAUGAGACAGGAAGAAGAGUUUUAUAUCACUGCUCCUAUCUGCCCUGUCCUGAAAAGUGUGAAUUAUGGGUGAUUGAAAUUCUUGAAGAAAAAAGUCUUCUAGUCAUGGAACAGAUGCAAUAGCCAUGCAGAGUUGCCUGUAUCAGACCCCACCAAAGUGCCUCAACCCUGAUCAUUAGUCCAUUCAAUCUCUGGCUUCUCGUGCUGGGACCACCAAAGAAGGUAACAGGUGUGGGUGGUGGUUUUUUUGUAA